Molecule: ribosomal RNA, 485 nt
Filed under: uncultured bacterium
Lineage: Bacteria
Description: bacterial SSU rRNA
Rfam family: Bacterial small subunit ribosomal RNA
Source: RNAcentral
GAUGAACGCUAGCGGCAGGCUUAACACAUGCAAGUCGAGGGGUAGAAGCAGCUUGCUGCUUUGAGACCGGCGCACGGGUGCGUAACGCGUAUGCAAUCUACCUUUUACAGAGGGAUAGCCCAGAGAAAUUUGGAUUAAUACCUCAUAGUAUGUGAGAAUCGCAUGGUUUUCACAUUAAAGUUCCAACGGUAAAAGAUGAGCAUGCGUCCCAUUAGCUAGAUGGUAAGGUAACGGCUUACCAAGACAAUGAUGGGUAGGGGUCCUGAGAGGGAGAUCCCCCCACACUGGUACUGAGACACGGACCAGACUCCUACGGGAGGCAGCAGUGAGGAAUAUUGGUCAAUGGGCGCAAGCCUGAACCAGCCAUGCCGCGUGCAGGAAGACGGUCCUAUGGAUUGUAAACUGCUUUUAUACAGGAAGAAACCCUCCCACGUGUGGGAGCUUGACGGUACUGUAGGAAUAAGGAUCGGCUAACUCCGUGCCAG